This 1734-nucleotide long non-coding RNA is filed under the name Phascolarctos cinereus (koala). Its description in RNAcentral is "lncRNA (ENSPCIG00000027222.2)". The record is from RNAcentral. Lineage: Eukaryota; Metazoa; Chordata; Mammalia; Diprotodontia; Phascolarctidae.
AUUUCAGCCCUGAGGAGAGACACUAAGUCUCUCUGGAACCUUAGGAAUGAGGCUGAGUGUGCUUGGGGUUUUCACUAAAGAUAACACUAUAUAUAUAGUGUAUUAUAUAGAGGUUAUGUUUUGUAAAUGACUUUAUAUACAUUCAUUUCUAUAUUUGGUCCUCACCUCCCUGUGAAAUAGCUAUCCAUGUGGCAGAUGAGGAAAGGAGGGAUACAGGAGUUAAAGGACUGCCCAGAACCAUACUGCUAGUUAGUGGCAAAGCUAGGACUCAGACUUAUAUUGGCUGAUUCCAUAUAAAUGUAUUACAGGGGACAAGAAUCAUCUCCCUUUGUAAUUGACGGAGUGGAUGCACAGCUAUGCUUGAAGCCUCAGUGUGGGUGGAAUGUCAAGGAGAGAGAUGUGUGAAAAUUUAAAGGAGAAUUAACCAGAGGGGGAUUGAAGAAAUUUCCUGGAGAUCUCACUGAUCUGGAGAUUCCUGGGAGAGUGAGUGAGAAAUGAACCUCGAGGAGAAACUGACCUCUAAUGCAGAGGGUGGAAGAGGAGGACGCUGGAGAAAGAGCAGCUUCGGCGGCCAUUGCAUUCCCUCCCUCCCAGAUCUGUCCUCCUAUCAGAAGCGGUGCCAGAACCAGCCCCACAAUGGGGGUUUCACCCAAGGGCCCCAACCUAAUAUGGGGUGCAUGCUUUCUCAUGGGGCUUGGUGGACUACCCUGUCCUGUCCUACAAGCCCGAUGGCCUAUAGUGGAACUGUAUGCUGUGCAGUGCCUUGCCUUACCUACUCAACUGGUUUGCUUUACGUGCAGUUUCUGCUAGUUAUAGCUCUGAUCAGAAGGAUGCAAAGUCACCCGGAGCAUGAUGACAACCACCCCAGCAGCCCAAGAACUCUCCAGAAUCUUCGAUUUGAGUCACACUUCACUUAUUCAUGAUUGGGACUGGAGAAGGGUGAAGAGCUUGUAAGGAAGAAGUAAGCUGAUGGGAUUUUCAUUGUUUUUUUUCCAGAAGCCAUAGAUUAAAAAGGGUGACUUCUCCCUGGCCUCUCAGGGGGGAUUCAUCAUUGCCCUGAAACUCCAAUAACAGACUUUCUCCUGCCCUAUACAAACUUUUGACCUUAUUUAAACUACUGGAAUCCUAAUUACUAAGACAGCUAUACAUACUACACUCCUGUCAGAACUCAACAUUUAUUUAUAAAACUUAAUUUGAAGUCCCAGCCCAGGUUCUGGUUUAUUUGGAAGUAACUUGGAUCCCUCAGGCAGACAGUGAAGAAGAAAGGAAUGAUUUGGAUUUUUCACUAGCAGCACUGUCACUGUGUGCCAGGACACAGAAAAAGAGUUCACUGACCAGGAGCCAACCCUGAUGUUAUCUCAAAGAGAAGCUAAACCCCAGGCCUUUCCAGAAGGCAGAAGAAGGUGAAGCUAGGAUAGCAGUUCCUGAUAGACUGUUGAGAGCAGCUCCCUAUGUUUCUCACUCCAGAGGCUCUCAUUGAGUAUUUGCAGUGUGAGAUGAAGGAGUGUUAUGGAUGCGUGAUGGGACAUCACUAGGAAAAAAAGAAAAAGACAAAGCAUCAUCAUCACAGACCCUGCAUUCAUUCACAUCAUCUUUAGGGCAGGGGUGGGGAACCUGCGGCCAGCAGGCCACAUGUGGCCCUCUAGGUCCUCAGGUGUGGGCCUUUGACCAAAUCCAAACUUCACAGAACAAAUCCCCUUAAUAAAAGGAUUUGUUCUGUAAAACUUGGGCUCA